RNAcentral lists this ribosomal RNA (429 nucleotides) under Chloroflexota bacterium. RNAcentral describes it as "Chloroflexi bacterium partial 16S ribosomal RNA". It matches the Rfam family "Bacterial small subunit ribosomal RNA", at positions 355 to 776 of the family's 1533-position model. The record is from RNAcentral. Lineage: Bacteria; Bacillati; Chloroflexota.
UGGGGAAUAUUGCACAAUGGGCGCAAGCCUGAUGCAGCCAUGCCGCGUGUGUGAAGAAGGCCUUCGGGUUGUAAAGCACUUUCAGCGGGGAGGAAGGCGUUAAGGUUAAUAACCUUGGCGAUUGACGUUACCCGCAGAAGAAGCACCGGCUAACUCCGUGCCAGCAGCCGCGGUAAUACGGAGGGUGCAAGCGUUAAUCGGAAUUACUGGGCGUAAAGCGCACGCAGGCGGUCUGUCAAGUCGGAUGUGAAAUCCCCGGGCUCAACCUGGGAACUGCAUUCGAAACUAGCAGGCUAGAGUAUUGUAGAGGGGGGUAGAAUUCCAGGUGUAGCGGUGAAAUGCGUAGAGAUCUGGAGGAAUACCGGUGGCGAAGGCGGCCCCCUGGACAAAGACUGACGCUCAGGUGCGAAAGCGUGGGGAGCAAACAGG